Molecule: ribosomal RNA, 443 nt
Filed under: uncultured bacterium
Lineage: Bacteria
Description: partial 16S ribosomal RNA
Rfam family: Bacterial small subunit ribosomal RNA
Source: RNAcentral
CCUACGGGUGGCAGCAGUGGGGAAUAUUGGACAAUGGGGGGAACCCUGAUCCAGCGACGCCGCGUGAGUGAAGAAGUAUUUCGGUAUGUAAAGCUCUAUCAGCAGGGAAGAAAGAAAUGACGGUACCUGACUAAGAAGCCCCGGCUAACUACGUGCCAGCAGCCGCGGUAAUACGUAGGGGGCAAGCGUUAUGCGGAUUUACUGGGUGGAAAGGGAGCGUAGGCGGUUACGCAAGUCUGGAGUGAAAGGCGGGGGCCCAACCCCCGGACUGCUUGGGAAACUGUAUAACUGGAGUGCAGGAGAGGUAAGUGGAAUUCGUAGUGUAGCGGUGAAAUGCGUAGAUAUUAGGAGGAACACCAGUGGCGAAGGCGGCUUACUGGACUGUAACUGACGUUGAGGCUCGAAAGCGUGGGGAGCAAACAGGAUUAGAUACCCCGGUAGUC